GCGGCGACGCAAAUUACGGCACUAAUUCUCCUCAAUUUUGCUCUGUUCAUGAAAACGCCGUCAGCAACCAAUAGAGCAACGAAAUUUCAGGCAUUAUCUAAUUAAACGUGAUUUCAAUAACAAUUUCAAAAUUUUCAGUAUGCAGUUGUUUGCCAAUUGAAGCAUAUUUAAUAAUGGGAGAAGAAGUAUAGAUAAAGAGUACGAGCCCAGAUCUGAGAGCGACAAUAUGGAUGAUGCAUUUGGGAAUGAUUAAGAUGACAAACCGCUGAGGAAGAAGAGAUCUAUCAGAGCGGCCCUUACAAUAUUUGGUCUAUUUUGCAGGUCAUUGAUAAGGUACCUUUCGAUUCAUAGUAAAAUAUUUUAAUAUAUAUUCGAUCGUGGAUUUUGUUGUCUACUUUUGUAUUUCAAUUACUUUAGUUGAUGGUAGUUUACAAUUGAUUUUAGUGAUUUAUUUGAUAAUCUUGCUGAGAUGUAAUAAUGCUUCUUGUGAUUCACUUGAAUUAAAUAUUUUAGAUAAUCUUAGCGUUAAA
Salvia miltiorrhiza (redroot sage) is the source of this 530-nucleotide long non-coding RNA. RefSeq lists it as uncharacterized. The transcript is spliced from 2 exons. Lineage: Eukaryota; Viridiplantae; Streptophyta; Magnoliopsida; Lamiales; Lamiaceae. The record is from RefSeq and is a predicted model, not a curated record.